Molecule: ribosomal RNA, 1328 nt
Filed under: Smyrna blomfildia
Lineage: Eukaryota; Metazoa; Arthropoda; Insecta; Lepidoptera; Nymphalidae
Description: 16S ribosomal RNA
Source: RNAcentral
GGGGUAAAUUAAUAAAAUAAGGUUAAUAAAAAAAAUUUUAGUAUUAAAAAGAAAUUGGGGGUUAAAGUAUUUUUAAUAGAAAAAAUUAUUAAUUUUAUAGUGAAUUAAUACUGUAAAGGAAUUUAAAAAUAAGUGAGAUUUAAUUAAGGGUAAAGUAAAUUUUAUUUGUUGUAUCUUGUGUAUCAGAGUUUAUUAAAUAAUAAUAAUUUAUUUAAAUAAAUCUCGAAUUUAAAAGAGUUAAUUAAUUAAAAAAGUUAAUGUUGAAUAAUUAUUUUAAAUAAUUAAUUGGAAAUGAAAUGUUAAUCGUUUUUAAAUAUAUCUAGUUUUUUUAGAAAAAAAUUUAAUUUUAAAUUUAAAUAAUUUUAUAAUUUUUUAUUUAAUUAUAAAAAAUUAAAAUUUAAUAUUUUAUGGGAUAAGCUUUAAAUUAAAAUUUUAUAAUAGGAAAAAAAAAAUAAAAUUAAAAUUUUUAGAAUUUAUAUUGUUAAUAAAUUAUAGUUUAUUAUAAAAAAUUUUAAUUAAAAUAAAAUUUAAUAAAAGUAUUUAAUUUUUUAUAAAAAUAUAAUUUAUAAUAAAAAUAAAUUAGAAAUAAUGAUAAAAUUAGUAUAAUAAGUAAAAAUAUAAUUAAUAAUUAAUUAAAAUUAAUUUAAAGGAAUUCGGCAAAAUUUUAUAUUCACUUGUUUAUCAAAAACAUGUCUUUUUGUUUAUAAUUUAAAGUCUAAUCUGCCCACUGAUAAUAUAUUAAAGGGCUGCAGUAUAUUGACUGUACAAAGGUAGCAUAAUCAUUAGUCUUUUAAUUGGAGACUUGUAUGAAAGAUUUGAUGAAAUAUAAACUGUCUCUAUUUUAUAAUUAAAAUUUAAUUUUUUAGUCAAAAAGCUAAAAUUUAAUUAAAAGACGAGAAGACCCUAUAGAGUUUUAUAAUUAGGUUAAUUUGUAUUAUUUAUAAAAUUAAAAAUAUAAAUUAAUUUAAUUAUUGUAUUGGGGUGAUAAAAAAAUUAAAUAAACUUUUUUUAAAAAUUUAACAUAGAUAAAUGAUUAAUUGAUCCAUUAAUAAUGAUUAAAAGAAAAAAUUACCUUAGGGAUAACAGCGUAAUAUUUUUUUUUAGUACAAAUAAAAAAAAAAGUUUGCGACCUCGAUGUUGGAUUAAGAUAAAAUUUAAAUGCAAAAGUUUAAAGUUUUGAUCUGUUCGAUCAUUAAAAUCUUACAUGAUCUGAGUUCAAACCGGUGUAAGCCAGGUUGGUUUCUAUCUUUAAUAAAAAUAAAUAUUUUAGUACGAAAGGAUCAAAUAUUUGAAAUAAUUUUAUUUUAUGAAUAUUAAUAAUAGUUUUU